RNAcentral lists this ribosomal RNA (465 nucleotides) under Vreelandella stevensii. RNAcentral's name for it is "partial 16S ribosomal RNA". It matches the Rfam family "Bacterial small subunit ribosomal RNA", at positions 338 to 795 of the family's 1533-position model. The record is from RNAcentral. Lineage: Bacteria; Pseudomonadati; Pseudomonadota; Gammaproteobacteria; Oceanospirillales; Halomonadaceae.
CCUACGGGUGGCUGCAGUGGGGAAUAUUGGACAAUGGGGGGAACCCUGAUCCAGCCAUGCCGCGUGUGUGAAGAAGGCCCUCGGGUUGUAAAGCACUUUCAGUGAGGAAGAACGCCUGGUGGUUAAUACCCAUCAGGAAAGACAUCACUCACAGAAGAAGCACCGGCUAACUCCGUGCCAGCAGCCGCGGUAAUACGGAGGGUGCGAGCGUUAAUCGGAAUUACUGGGCGUAAAGCGCGCGUAGGUGGCUUGAUAAGCCGGUUGUGAAAGCCCCGGGCUCAACCUGGGAACGGCAGCCGGAACUGUCGAGCUAGAGUGCAGGAGAGGAAGGUAGAAUUCCCGGUGUAGCGGUGAAAUGCGUAGAGAUCGGGAGGAAUACCAGUGGCGAAGGCGGCCUUCUGGACUGACACUGACACUGAGGUGCGAAAGCGUGGGUAGUAAACAGGAUUAGAUACCCGGGUAGUC